This 71-nucleotide transfer RNA is filed under the name Marmota monax (woodchuck). RNAcentral describes it as "tRNA.Undet". The record is from RNAcentral. Lineage: Eukaryota; Metazoa; Chordata; Mammalia; Rodentia; Sciuridae.
AAGGGUGUAGCUCAAUGGUAAAGCCUGUGCUAGCAAAUGUCAGGUCCUGGGUUUAAUCCCCAGUGCCCUCC